This 764-nucleotide ribosomal RNA is filed under the name uncultured Actinomyces sp. Its description in RNAcentral is "bacterial SSU rRNA". It matches the Rfam family "Bacterial small subunit ribosomal RNA", at positions 28 to 776 of the family's 1533-position model. The record is from RNAcentral. Lineage: Bacteria; Bacillati; Actinomycetota; Actinomycetes; Actinomycetales; Actinomycetaceae.
GACGAACGCUGGCGGCGUGCCUAAUACAUGCAAGUAGAACGCUGAAGGAGGAGCUUGCUCUUCUGGAUGAGUUGCGAACGGGUGAGUAACGCGUAGGUAACCUGCCUGGUAGCGGGGGAUAACUAUUGGAAACGAUAGCUAAUACCGCAUAAGAGUAGAUGUCGCAUGACAUUUGCUUAAAAGGUGCAAUUGCAUCACUACCAGAUGGACCUGCGUUGUAUUAGCUAGUUGGUGAGGUAACGGCUCACCAAGGCAACGAUACAUAGCCGACCUGAGAGGGUGAUCGGCCACACUGGGACUGAGACACGGCCCAGACUCCUACGGGAGGCAGCAGUAGGGAAUCUUCGGCAAUGGACGGAAGUCUGACCGAGCAACGCCGCGUGAGUGAAGAAGGUUUUCGGAUCGUAAAGCUCUGUUGUAAGAGAAGAACGAGUGUGAGAGUGGAAAGUUCACACUGUGACGGUAUCUUACCAGAAAGGGACGGCUAACUACGUGCCAGCAGCCGCGGUAAUACGGAGGAUGCGAGCGUUAUCCGGAAUCAUUGGGUUUAAAGGGUCUGUAGGCGGGCUUGUAAGUCAGAGGUGAAAGCGCUUAGCUCAACUAAGCAACUGCCUUUGAAACUGUUAGUCUUGAAUGGUUGUGAAGUAGUUGGAAUGUGUAGUGUAGCGGUGAAAUGCUUAGAUAUUACACAGAACACCGAUAGCGGAGGCAUAUUACUAACAAUUUAUUGACGCUGAUGGACGAAAGCGUGGGGAGCGAACAGG